Long non-coding RNA from Chiroxiphia lanceolata (lance-tailed manakin), 1707 nucleotides. RefSeq lists it as uncharacterized. Lineage: Eukaryota; Metazoa; Chordata; Aves; Passeriformes; Pipridae. The transcript is spliced from 3 exons. The record is from RefSeq and is a predicted model, not a curated record.
AUUAGAUAAAGCAGGAAUGUAAUAAUCACUCGGCUGCAUUCAGCUUUUGUACUUUUAUUCACAGUAUUCAGCAUAUCUAAUAAAAGCAAUUGGGAUCAGUUACAAAUUUGUAAAAAGCAUAAUCAAUUCAAUAAAAAAAAACUCACCGUCCAUCCCUCUGAGCAGCUCACCAUCUGUAUUGUUUUUACAAAAAUACCUAGUUUUUCCAGUCCCUGAUCAGCACCAACUCCCAUUCCAAUGAUACUGAUGCCCAGACCCCUGUCACCUAAGGGAUUAAAAAAUCUAACAUUAGUUGCAUGACACAUAGUGUAACAGUUAGCAGUACUGAGUUGUUUCAAAGCAUUUCAAGUCCUUCCACAGAAAAAAACCCAGAAAACCCCUGAAAAAAGACACAUAUUUUAUAUUUAGAUAGUACUAAAGCGUUUUUGUUCUUAACUUCAAUUCAGUAUGACAAUUUGCACUUAGCAGAGGCCUGUCCAGUUAACAUUCACCAAAUUCAACAGAACUAGCCACACAAUUAAAGCCUAGACAAACAUUCAAAAAUUCAAGAGCUAAGUUCUGGGAAUAUAGUUUUAAAUGGUUUUAUCUUUUGUUCACAUAGUAUCUAUUGCAAAUGUUCAAGGUUUGAUUUGCACCUUUUUCAAUUUCCACAGGAAACACUUCCAUCUUUUCCACCCUUUUCUCAAGUCAUACUCAGCUGAGGCUGCCACAGGGUCACUUCUUCAUUACGUCUAUCAUAGUCUUCAUUUGAGCACUGAGUGUUUUAUUCAACAUCACUGUAAGACAAAAAACAGUUACGGAUUGCAGCUGCAGCAGCCAUCUCCCUAAUCAAGAACAUGCAGUGCUGACACAAAGUUCAUUUACACUGGCCUACUAAAUUUCUGCAAUUUUUGUAUUUUGCCACUAAGACUACGUAGACAGGUAACUGCAAUCAUACGUUCAAAGAAGAAGUUGAGAGAAGAUCCAUGAUCUCCAUCUGUGAUCUGGUUGUACUCCUCCACCAUCUCCUCCACCAGUUGAGGUGGCAUUGCUCUCUGACUGACAAAGAGACUGAAAGACUUCAAAAUAAAUAGGAUAUGAUCAAAAUACUACUCAUAAUCAAAUCAAAGAACUACUCACAAUACCACAUAAAAGGGGGUACCCUCAAAACAUCUUGGCUCCUUGACUUUGCUUAUAAAGAGAGUGAUUCAAUUAUGAACAUCCAUAAUUCUUGGUACCCAUCAGUUUACACCUGGUAAUCCACAUAGAUAUGUGUAUUUAUUUAGUAUUCAGCGAAACAGAAAUCUUGACCUGACCAAAUUUAAACAGCAAGCAAACCGGUAUGGGGAACUUCAAAAGAAUAACAACUAACACAAAAAUAGUGUCCAUCUCACUGUUUUCUAAAGACCAUAAGAAGAAACAACAACAAAAUAACCCUGUUACACCAAAUCAACUCAAUUAACUAAUCUGUAUUAAUACUGUCAUUAGCAAUGAUCAAUACCCCAGAUUUGAAAAGGGUCAUCUCACUAUGCCAAGUCACAUCAGGGGGUGAUAGAAGAAAAUGAUGGAGAAAGAAAUGUAAAGAAUUUGCCAUGUUGCAUAAUACUUUCCUACUCAAUAAAAAUAUAAGAACCCUGUAAAAAUUCUGCAACACUGCACCUUUAUCUUAAGGUUACAAAAUGUGUACUCAGCUAACAGAGGCACACAUCUUUUUACUGAUGCCCCUCU